UGGGGAAUAUUGGACAAUGGGGGAAACCCUGAUCCAGCAAUGCCGCGUGAAUGAUGAAGGCCUUAGGGUUGUAAAGUUCUUUCACCUGUGAAGAUAAUGACGGUAGCAGGAGAAGAAGCCCCGGCAAACUCCGUGCCAGCAGCCGCGGUAAGACGGAGGGGGCUAGCGUUGUUCGGAAUGACUGGGCGUAAAGGGCGCGUAGGCGGUGUCUUAAGUGAGGCGUGAAAGCCCCGGGCUUAACCCGGGAGGUGCGUUUCAUACUGAGAUGCUAGAGUGCGAGAGAGGAAAGUGGAAUUCCUAGUGUAGAGGUGAAAUUCGUAGAUAUUAGGAAGAACACCAGAGGCGAAGGCGGCUUUCUGGCUCGUAACUGACGCUGAGGCGCGAAAGCGUGGGGAGCAAA
RNAcentral lists this ribosomal RNA (400 nucleotides) under uncultured bacterium. Its description in RNAcentral is "bacterial SSU rRNA". It matches the Rfam family "Bacterial small subunit ribosomal RNA", at positions 355 to 772 of the family's 1533-position model. The record is from RNAcentral.